Molecule: ribosomal RNA, 428 nt
Filed under: uncultured bacterium
Lineage: Bacteria
Description: bacterial SSU rRNA
Rfam family: Bacterial small subunit ribosomal RNA
Source: RNAcentral
GGGCCCGCACAAGCGGUGGAGCAUGUGGUUUAAUUCGAUGCAACGCGAAGAACCUUACCUACACUUGACAUGCUGAGAAGUUACUAGAGAUAGUUUCGUGCCUUCGGGAACUCAGACACAGGUGCUGCAUGGCUGUCGUCAGCUCGUGUCGUGAGAUGUUGGGUUAAGUCCCGCAACGAGCGCAACCCUUGUCCUUAGUUACCAGCGGGUUAAGCCGGGAACUCUAAGGAUACUGCCAGUGACAAACUGGAGGAAGGCGGGGACGACGUCAAGUCAUCAUGGCCCUUACGACCAGGGCUACACACGUGCUACAAUGGGCGGUACAGAGGGCAGCGAAGUCGCGAGGCCGAGCAAAUCCCUUAAAACCGUUCGUAGUCCGGAUUGGAGUCUGCAACUCGACUCCAUGAAGUCGGAAUCGCUAGUAAUCG